UUGAAAUUUUUUGAAAUUUUUGAAAUUUUUUGAAUUUUGAAUUUUUUUAAAUUUUGAAAUUUUUGAAAUUUUGAAACUUUUGAAAUUUUGAAAUUUUUUGGAAUUUUGAAAUUUUUUGGAAUUUUGAAAUUUCUUGGAAUUUUGAAAUUUCUUGGAAUUCUGAAAUUUUUUGGAAUUUUGAAUUUUUUGGAAUUUUGAAAUUUUGUGGAAUUUUUAAAUUUUUAAAUUUUUUGGAAUUUUGAAAUUUUAGAAAUUUUGAAAUUUUUUGGAAUUUUGAAAAUU
Non-coding RNA from Caenorhabditis elegans, 282 nucleotides. Lineage: Eukaryota; Metazoa; Nematoda; Chromadorea; Rhabditida; Rhabditidae. The record is from Ensembl.